Molecule: ribosomal RNA, 279 nt
Filed under: uncultured bacterium
Lineage: Bacteria
Description: partial 16S ribosomal RNA
Rfam family: Bacterial small subunit ribosomal RNA
Source: RNAcentral
UGCCAGCCGCCGCGGUAAUACGGAGGGGGUUAGCGUUGUUCGGAAUUACUGGGCGUAAAGCGCACGUAGGCGGAUUAGUAAGUUAGAUGUGAAAGCCCAGGGCUCAACCUUGGAACUGCAUUUAAUACUGCCAGACUUGAGAUCGGAAGAGGAAAGCGGAAUUUCUAGUGUAGAGGUGAAAUUCGUAGAUAUUAGAAGGAACAUCAGAGGCGAAGGCGGCUUUCUGGUCCGAUACUGACGCUGAGGUACGAAAGCGUGGGGAGCAAACAGGAUUAGAUA